This 460-nucleotide ribosomal RNA is filed under the name uncultured bacterium. RNAcentral's name for it is "partial 16S ribosomal RNA". It matches the Rfam family "Bacterial small subunit ribosomal RNA", at positions 338 to 795 of the family's 1533-position model. The record is from RNAcentral.
CCUACGGGUGGCAGCAGUGAGGAAUAUUGGUCAAUGGACGGGAGUCUGAACCAGCCAUGCCGCGUGCAGGAUGACGGCCCUAUGGGUUGUAAACUGCUUUUGUACGGGAAUAAUAGUUCUUACGUGUAGGGUUUUGAAUGUAUCGUAUGAAUAAGGAUCGGCUAACUCCGUGCCAGCAGCCGCGGUAAUACGGAGGAUUCGAGCGUUAUCCGGAUUUAUUGGGUUUAAAGGGUGCGUAGGCGGUAGGAUAAGUUAGAGGUCAAAUCUUGGGGCUUAACCCCGUGACUGCCUCUGAUACUAUUAGGCUAGAGAGCGGAUGCGGAAGGCGGAAUGAGUAGUGUAGCGGUGAAAUGCUUAGAUAUUAGGCAGAACACCAGUGGCGCAGGCAGCUUGCUAAACCGCAUCUGACGCUGAGGCACGAAAGCGUGGGGAGCGAACAGGAUUAGAUACCCCGGUAGUC